RNAcentral lists this long non-coding RNA (226 nucleotides) under Trifolium pratense (red clover). RNAcentral describes it as "long non-coding RNA (TPRA_LNC011872)". The record is from RNAcentral. Lineage: Eukaryota; Viridiplantae; Streptophyta; Magnoliopsida; Fabales; Fabaceae.
GACCUCGCCUAAAUUCUAUUGUAAUAGACACAAACCUCCCCUAAAGUCUAUUGAAUAGACAAACAUCUCCCCUCUAAACUUACACCGUUUAUUAGUCUGUUAAUUUUAUUAUGAUGAUAAUCUCUCUCCACUGAAACCUUGAAUAUUGUAUCAUUGUUCGAACCUUCUCAAACCAUUUUUCCUAUUUUAAAUCUACUAUUAUUAGUUUUCAAUUGAAGAAUAAUCA